Molecule: long non-coding RNA, 1556 nt
Organism: Antechinus flavipes (yellow-footed antechinus)
Lineage: Eukaryota; Metazoa; Chordata; Mammalia; Dasyuromorphia; Dasyuridae
Exons: 2
Source: RefSeq, a predicted model, not a curated record
UGUUAAGAGGGAUAGGUGAGGGUUGGGGGGAUCGAGGUUAAAGUACUUUCAAGAGAUGCUGCAGGUGGGGGAGGGGACACACAGGCUACUAUUUGUGGCUGGGACAGAAAAAGAAAGUUUGAUGGAUUUGUCCCCUGCCCCACUCCCUUUUUAAAGUUCCAAAGCUGGAGACAGAUGGGCUGACUACACUUAUCUCUUAACAGAGGGAGUCCAAGUUGUUGAGACUGGUUUUUCUUUCAACCGGAUACCUGAGGGGUGGAGCAGGCGCCCCCCAGUCCUGUCCCCGCAACCUAUUAAAGUCUUCCGAACCGGAAAAUGACAGAUGCCUGAAGGCUGUAGUUGCUGCUGGAAUUGCUGUUGCUGAACUGUGGCUAUGGGGCACGCUGCACCUGAAGAAACUCUCCGAAAAUCCAGCAAAUUGUUAAACCACCUGUUUCCAGUCUCGGCUUCUCCAGUGCUAUUAUUUCAGGUGCAGAAAUAGCUGAGGAAUCCCUGGCAGAGACACAGAACAAACUUCUUUCUCCACAGUGGUUCCAUCAAUAGUCAAGGUUCUCACAGGAUGCAGUCCUGAACCCAUUUGGGGUGGGGCGGAUUAUCCUCAGCAACUAGGCUCAGAGGACAAGGAGGCAGUAAGAGGUGAUAGAGAUUGAUUCCAACCUUCCAAUUUUUAUAGAUGAGAAAACUCAUCUUGAGGCUCAAAGGGAUUAAGAAAAAGACACAAUGUUGGAAACUGCAGGAAGAAACAGAAUAUAUAGCAAGGGACAGUCAGGGGGGAGGAGUAGAAUCUGGGGAUCUAGGUUUAAAUAUCACCUCUUGGAAGCAGCUAGGUGGUACAGUGGAUAGAACACUGGCCCUAGAAUCCGGAGGAGCUCAAAUCCAGACACUUGGCAGUCACUAGCUAUGUGACCCUGAGCAGAUCACAACUCUGAUUGCCUCAUCAAAAAAUAAAAAGAAAGGAAGAAAGAAAGAAAGAAAGAAAGAAAGAAAGAAAGAAAGAAAGAAAGAAAGAAAGAAAGAAAGAAAGAAAGAAAAAAGAAAGAAAGAAAGAAAGAAAGAAAGAAAGAAAGAAAGAAAGAAAGAAAGAAAGAAAGAAAGAAAAGAAAAAGAAAAAGAAAAUAAAUCCCACCUCUAAUAACCUGUGCAUUCUCAGUUAAGUCACUUUAACCUCCCUGAGUCUGUUUCCUCAUAUCUAAAAUGAGGGAGUUGAAUUAGAUAGUCUCUAAGAUCACCUUUCUUUUAUCUUAUUUUUUCUCUUCUUGCUUGCUUGCUUUUUCUCUUUCUUUCUCUCUUCUUCCUUCCUUCCUUCCUUUUCUUUCUUCCUUUCCUUCUUUCUUGCUUUCUUUUUUUUCCUUUUUCUUUCUUUUCUUCUUUUCUCUGGCACAUUCUAAAAGAAUUUUCAAUAUCAGAUUCUCUUUUUCCUUUCCUCCCUAUCCCUUUCCUUGACAUGGCAAGUAAUUUGAUACAAAUAAUACAUGUGUAAGCAUGCAAAACAUAUUUCCCUAUUAGUCAUGUUGUGAAAGAAGACAUAGACCAAAAAAUAAAGAAUAUGAAAAAUA